Molecule: ribosomal RNA, 484 nt
Filed under: uncultured bacterium
Lineage: Bacteria
Description: partial 16S ribosomal RNA
Rfam family: Bacterial small subunit ribosomal RNA
Source: RNAcentral
AUUGAACGCUGGCGGCAUGCUUUACACAUGCAAGUCGAACGGCAGCGCGGGCUUCGGCCUGUCUGCGAGUGGCGAACGGGUGAGUAAUACAUCGGAACGUGCCCAGUAGUGGGGGAUUGCUCGGCGAAAGCCGGAUUAAUACCGCAUACGACCUGAGCGUGAAAGCGGGGGAUCUUCUGACCUCGCGCUAUUUUACUGGCCGAUGGCAGCUUAGCUAGUUGGUGGGGUUAAGGCCUACCAAGGCGACCAUCUGUAGCUGGUCUGAGAGGACGACCAGCCACACUAGGACUGAGACACGGCCCAGACUACUACGGGAGGCAGCAGUGGGGAAUUUUGGACAAUGGGCGAAAGCCUGAUCCAGCAAUGCCGCGUGUGUGAUGAAGGCCUUCGGGUUGUAAAGCACUUUUGGAGGGAACGAAAAGGACUGUGCCAAUACCACGCUUCGAUGACGGUACCCGCAGAAUAAGCACCGGCUAACUACGUG